CCUACGGGUGGCUGCAGUGAGGAAUAUUGGUCAAUGGCCGUGAGGCUGAACCAGCCAAGUCGCGUGAAGGAUGAAUGAUCUAUGGUUUGUAAACUUCUUUUAUAGGGGAAUAAAGUUAUCCACGUGUGGCUAUUUGCAUGUACCCUAUGAAUAAGCAUCGGCUACCUCCGUGCCAGCAGCCGCGGUAAUACGGAGGAUCCGAGCGUUAUCCGGAUUUAUUGGGUUGAAAGGUGGCGUAGAUUGUUUUUUAAGUCAGGGGUGAAAGUUUGUGGCUCAACCAUAAAAUUGCAGUUGCAACUGGAAGACUUGAGUGUGUUUGAGGUAGGCGGAAUGCGUGGUGUAGCGGUGAAAUGCAUAGAUAUCACGAAGAACUCCGAUUGCGAAGGCAGCUUACUAAGCCAUAACUGACACUGAUGCACGAAAGCGUGGGGAUCAAACAGGAUUAGAUACCCCUGUAGUC
RNAcentral lists this ribosomal RNA (460 nucleotides) under uncultured bacterium. RNAcentral describes it as "partial 16S ribosomal RNA". It matches the Rfam family "Bacterial small subunit ribosomal RNA", at positions 338 to 795 of the family's 1533-position model. The record is from RNAcentral.